Molecule: ribosomal RNA, 856 nt
Filed under: uncultured bacterium
Lineage: Bacteria
Description: bacterial SSU rRNA
Rfam family: Bacterial small subunit ribosomal RNA
Source: RNAcentral
CAUGCAGUCGAACGGACUUACAUUGAAGCCUAGCGAUAUGUAAGUUAGUGGCGGACGGGUGAGUAACGCGUGGGUAACCUGCCUUGUACUGGGGGACAACAGUUGGAAACGACUGCUAAUACCGCAUAAGCGCACAGCUUCGCAUGAAGCAGUGUGAAAAACUCCGGUGGUACAAGAUGGACCCGCGUCUGAUUAGCUGGUUGGUGAGGUAACGGCCCACCAAGGCGACGAUCAGUAGCCGGCCUGAGAGGGUGAACGGCCACAUUGGGACUGAGACACGGCCCAAACUCCUACGGGAGGCAGCAGUGGGGAAUAUUGCACAAUGGGGGAAACCCUGAUGCAGCAACGCCGCGUGAGUGAAGAAGUAUUUCGGUAUGUAAAGCUCUAUCAGCAGGAAAGAAAAUGACGGUACCUGACUAAGAAGCCCCGGCUAACUACAUGCCAGCAGCCGCGGUAAUACGUAGGGGGCAAGCGUUAUCCGGAUUUACUGGGUGUAAAGGGAGCGUAGACGGUUUUGCAAGUCUGAAGUGAAAGCCCGGGGCUUAACCCCGGGACUGCUUUGGAAACUGUAGAACUAGAGUGCAGGAGAGGUAAGUGGAAUUCCUAGUGUAGCGGUGAAAUGCGUAGAUAUUAGGAGGAACACCAGUGGCGAAGGCGGCUUACUGGACUGUAACUGACGUUGAGGCUCGAAAGCGUGGGGAGCAAACAGGAUUAGAUACCCUGGUAGUCCACGCCGUAAACGAUGAUUACUAGGUGUUGGUGGGUACGACCCAUCGGUGCCGCAGCAAACGCAGUAAGUAAUCCACCUGGGGAGUACGUUCGCAAGAAUGAAACUCAAAGGAAUUGACGGGGACCC